UACGGGGGGGGCAAGCGUUGUUCGGAAUUACUGGGCGUAAAGGGCGCGUAGGCGGCUCUUCAAGUCAGCCGCGAAAUCUCCGGGCUUAACCCGGAAGGGUCGGUUGGUACUGUCGAGCUAGAGUGUAGAAGAGGCAACUGGAAUUCCGUGUGUAGCGGUGAAAUGCGUAGAUAUACGGAGGGACACCUGCGGCGAAGGCGGGUUGCUGGGCUAACACUGACGCUGAGGCGCGAAAGCUAGGGUAGCAAACGGG
RNAcentral lists this ribosomal RNA (253 nucleotides) under uncultured bacterium. Its description in RNAcentral is "partial 16S ribosomal RNA". It matches the Rfam family "Bacterial small subunit ribosomal RNA", at positions 524 to 776 of the family's 1533-position model. The record is from RNAcentral.